RNAcentral lists this ribosomal RNA (513 nucleotides) under uncultured bacterium. RNAcentral describes it as "bacterial SSU rRNA". It matches the Rfam family "Bacterial small subunit ribosomal RNA", at positions 28 to 507 of the family's 1533-position model. The record is from RNAcentral.
GGAGAACGCUGGCGGCGUGCUUAACACAUGCAAGUCGAACGGAGAUUAUUAAUGAAGCUUGCGAUUUAAUAAUCUUAGUGGCGGACGGGUGAGUAACGCGUGGGCAACCUACCCAUAAGCGGGGGAUAACAGUUGGAAACGACUGCUAAUACCGCAUAAGCUAUUAAGGUCACAUGACCUUAAUAGUAAAGGUGGCGAUUUUACAUUGCUAUCACUUAUGGAUGGGCCCGCGUCUGAUUAGCUAGUUGGUGGGAUAGCAGCCUACCAAGGCAACGAUCAGUAGCCGGCCUGAGAGGGUGGACGGCCACACUGGGACUGAGACACGGCCCAGACUCCUACGGGAGGCAGCAGGUGGGGAAUAUUGCGCAAUGGGGGAAACCCUGACGCAGCGACGCCGCGUGAGCGAAGAAGGCCUUAGGGUCGUAAAGCUCUGUUGUAAGGGACGAAUGUUUAUCUGGCGAACAGUCAGAUAAAGUGACGGUACCUUACCAGCAAGCCCCGGCUAACUACGUG